This 438-nucleotide ribosomal RNA is filed under the name uncultured bacterium. RNAcentral's name for it is "bacterial SSU rRNA". It matches the Rfam family "Bacterial small subunit ribosomal RNA", at positions 1064 to 1502 of the family's 1533-position model. The record is from RNAcentral.
GUUGUGAAAUGUUGGGUUAAGUCCCGCAACGAGCGCAACCCUUAUCCUUUGUUGCCAGCGAUUCGGUCGGGAACUCAAAGGAGACUGCCAGUGAUAAACUGGAGGAAGGUGGGGAUGACGUCAAGUCAUCAUGGCCCUUACGAGUAGGGCUACACACGUGCUACAAUGGCAUAUACAAAGAGAAGCGACCUCGCGAGAGCAAGCGGACCUCAUAAAGUAUGUCGUAGUCCGGAUUGGAGUCUGCAACUCGACUCCAUGAAGUCGGAAUCGCUAGUAAUCGUGGAUCAGAAUGCCACGGUGAAUACGUUCCCGGGCCUUGUACACACCGCCCGUCACACCAUGGGAGUGGGUUGCAAAAGAAGUAGGUAGCUUAACCUUCGGGAGGGCGCUUACCACUUUGUGAUUCAUGACUGGGGUGAAGUCGUAACAAGGUAACCG